Molecule: ribosomal RNA, 440 nt
Filed under: uncultured Duganella sp.
Lineage: Bacteria; Pseudomonadati; Pseudomonadota; Betaproteobacteria; Burkholderiales; Oxalobacteraceae
Description: bacterial SSU rRNA
Rfam family: Bacterial small subunit ribosomal RNA
Source: RNAcentral
GGAAUUUUGGACAAUGGGCGCAAGCCUGAUCCAGCAAUGCCGCGUGAGUGAAGAAGGCCUUCGGGUUGUAAAGCUCUUUUGUCAGGGAAGAAACGGGUCUUUCUAAUACAGAGAUCUAAUGACGGUACCUGAAGAAUAAGCACCGGCUAACUACGUGCCAGCAGCCGCGGUAAUACGUAGGGUGCAAGCGUUAAUCGGAAUUACUGGGCGUAAAGCGUGCGCAGGCGGUUUUGUAAGACUGUCGUGAAAUCCCCGGGCUCAACCUGGGAAUGGCGAUGGUGACUGCAAGGCUAGAGUUUGGCAGAGGGGGGUAGAAUUCCACGUGUAGCAGUGAAAUGCGUAGAUAUGUGGAGGAACACCGAUGGCGAAGGCAGCCCCCUGGGUCAAAACUGACGCUCAUGCACGAAAGCGUGGGGAGCAAACAGGAUUAGAUACCCCAG